Molecule: non-coding RNA, 157 nt
Organism: Pelobates cultripes (western spadefoot toad)
Lineage: Eukaryota; Metazoa; Chordata; Amphibia; Anura; Pelobatidae
Source: the annotation of a GenBank genome assembly
GCAGACACAUUCCAGCCAAUCAGCAGCAGACCCUCCCUCCCAGGCCUUCCCACCUCCUGGACAGCAUCCAUUUUGAAGCUGCAUUCUUAGUGAGCUGUCCAGGAGGUGGGAGGGUCUGGGAGGGAGGGUCUGCUGCUGAUUGGCUGGAAUGUGUCUG